GCCCGGUUAGCUCAGUUUGGUAGAGCGUGAGACUUUUAAGGUUGCGAUGGCCGUGAAAGACAUCUUAAGGUCGUGGGUUCGACCCCCACAUCGGGCG
Non-coding RNA from Zopfochytrium polystomum, 97 nucleotides. NCBI's taxonomy places the organism in Eukaryota, Fungi, Chytridiomycota, Chytridiomycetes, Chytridiales, Chytridiaceae. The record is from the annotation of a GenBank genome assembly.